AUAUGUAUUUGCACUACAACACGAACCCAUGUUUAGCGACAGAUGUUUUGCAGUGGAAAUAAGAUGUGUUGCCGUCCGUCCCUCCUUUCAACCUCCUAGACCAAAAUAAAAACUACCCCCAAGCCAUCCCUAAUCUACGAGACUAAUUCCUUCUCUUGCGCAUAGGGUUCCAGCACCCCUCCCACAAUUCUCCUCCAUGUCAUUUCGGUGGCGGUGGAUUGUUCGAUUCCUCAUCAGCCCUCCACAACACCUGCUGUAGGGAGACUACCUUGAGGCCCGCAGAUCAUGGACUCGCCGCCGGAGUCUCCAUCGAGUCUGCGCUGCUGCCUUCCUCCAUGGGGGGUAGGUUCCAUAGAGAGCACAACGAUCUGCUCCCCUCAGCCAAUUCUGUCAGAUCCCGUGGCGAUGAGAAGAAGGGAGAUCGCUGCCGGAUGACCGGAUCUGAAGGAGGGAUAUCGCCUUCUCAUCCUAUCUGCACCGUCAUUCCCUUCCAAACGGCGCCCUCUCUCCUGCCCCAGGGUGCAGGUUCAACACUUCUGUCAUAUCUGAAUUGAUUUGAUUACCCAUCUGAAAGUGAGAUGUAACAGGAUUCUUAACAUGUGGGAGUUAAAGCCUGAACGAUUCCGCUGUAGAAAAUCUGACUUGAAGAGUUUCUGAGUACUCAGGUGUGAAAGUUCUGUUUAGUUUAAGUUUUUAUCAGAGUACACAUAUAUUCUUAUGCACUUGUCAUGUGAAUAAUAUGCAAAAGCUGGCUGUCCAUAGAGAACUUGAGCAGCCUGGAGAACAGAGCAAUUUCUGGCCUGUUCUGUCGUUUUGGUCUCAUUCUUUCUAUCCAUGAUUCAAUUAUAAGUUUUCUCUUGGCUAUACUGCCGUGCCAGUAAGAAAACCUUUUCUCUUUCAUUUUCCUGAAUAUUUCUAUCUGUAAGCAGUAACCACCGCAACAAAGCAAAAUGAUUGCUUCUUGUUUUUUUCCCUCUUUUCUGUACAGUGAUGAUGAUAUCCUUUGUAGGUAUUUUUGAAGCAACCUCUUUGGAGCGCUCAAAGAAAAGCCCUUUUUAGAGACCCAUAUACUGUGAAAAUGAGGUGCUCCACAAUCAGAUGCCAAUUUCAGCACUUCUAAGCUGAAGAAUGUAAUACCUGGGUUCAUAAAAGUUCUGAAAGAGCUGGAACACAGGAAUUUCAGUCCUGCUUCCGAGAUGAAAAGACUGCAAGACACAUCAUGCAUAUGUUUUGUUGUACAAUUGAGGAUGUGGAGCACGAAGGAUCAUUUGAGUGGAUGCAUUUCGUGAUAAAUUAGUCAUAUGUUCAAUUUCAGUGUUUUAUAUCCCUGUAUGCUAUCAACAACCAUGUAAAGAUAAUCCUUGUAACUGAAAUUAUUUUUCUAAUAAGAUCAUUUUUUUAUUUUUUAUCA
Long non-coding RNA from Panicum hallii, 1411 nucleotides. RefSeq lists it as uncharacterized. Lineage: Eukaryota; Viridiplantae; Streptophyta; Magnoliopsida; Poales; Poaceae. The record is from RefSeq and is a predicted model, not a curated record. The transcript has 4 exons.